CAGAGGGGGCAAGCGUUGUUCGGAAUUACUGGGCGUAAAGGGCGCGUAGGCGGCCACCUAAGUCAGACGUGAAAUCCCUCGGCUCAACCGGGGAACUGCGUCUGAUACUGGGUGGCUUGAAUUCGGGAGAGGGAUGCGGAAUUCCAGGUGUAGCGGUGAAAUGCGUAGAUAUCUGGAGGAACACCGGUGGCGAAGGCGGCAUCCUGGACCGACAUUGACGCUGAGGCGCGAAAGCCAGGGGAGCAAACGGGAUUAGAUACCCCGGUAGUCCUGGCCCUAAACGAUGAGUGCUUGGUGUGGCGGGUAUCGAUCCCUGCCGUGCCGAAGCUAACGCAUUAAGCACUCCGCCUGGGGAGUACGGUCGCAAGGCUG
This 372-nucleotide ribosomal RNA is filed under the name uncultured organism. RNAcentral describes it as "bacterial SSU rRNA". It matches the Rfam family "Bacterial small subunit ribosomal RNA", at positions 526 to 896 of the family's 1533-position model. The record is from RNAcentral.